GGUGAACGCUAGCGGUGCGCCUAACACAUGCAAGUCGAGCGGGAUUACAUUUUAGCUUGCUAAGAUGUAUGAGAGCGGCGAACGGGUGAGUAACACGUUGGAAUCUGCCCCCAAGUCAGGGAUAGCCAUUGGAAACGAUGAUUAAUACCGGAUAGUCUCUACGGAGUAAAAAUUUAUUGCUUGGGGAGGAGCCUGCGUUCUAUCAGCUAGUUGGUAAGGUAAAAGCUUACCAAGGCUAUGACGGAUACCUGGUCUGAGAGGAUGAUCAGGCACAAUGGAACUGAGACACGGUCCAU
Molecule: ribosomal RNA, 296 nt
Filed under: uncultured bacterium
Lineage: Bacteria
Description: partial 16S ribosomal RNA
Rfam family: Bacterial small subunit ribosomal RNA
Source: RNAcentral